This 402-nucleotide long non-coding RNA is filed under the name Calidris pugnax (ruff). RNAcentral describes it as "lncRNA (ENSCPUG00000014378.1)". Lineage: Eukaryota; Metazoa; Chordata; Aves; Charadriiformes; Scolopacidae. The record is from RNAcentral.
AUGAUGGCUUACUGCGUUGUACUGUUCUUGGUUGCUUGCGCUCCCAUAACCUCCUGGAUGAAGCCAGAGGAGCAACAGCACAGCAGCACCAUAUCCUUCCUUAGAUGUAUUCUGCCUGGAGCUUGGCACACUGACAUUAUUCCUGGCAUUCCUUCCUUCCCCAUAGGACAGACUGGACGAACUCGGGCUGGACCAGAACUGCCGCAGCACUGUUCUCUGUUGCUGAACAUAAAGGCAAUGAAAAUUGAGCUGGGAAGAGUACAGGGGAGGAAAAACGACCAUAGCCAGUGAGUGUCCACCCUGGGUAACUGGGGUUUGUGGCUGUUUCUGCCCCACUGUGUUGUGUACAGUGAGCCUGGUAGCAGGACCUCCUUCCCAAAGUGGUCCCACGGUCCUCUCCCU